RNAcentral lists this ribosomal RNA (111 nucleotides) under Citrobacter freundii. RNAcentral describes it as "partial 23S ribosomal RNA". It matches the Rfam family "Bacterial large subunit ribosomal RNA", at positions 2804 to 2925 of the family's 2925-position model. Lineage: Bacteria; Pseudomonadati; Pseudomonadota; Gammaproteobacteria; Enterobacterales; Enterobacteriaceae. The record is from RNAcentral. RNAcentral also lists the same sequence under 2 other names.
ACUUUAAGUCUCCUGAAGGAACGUUGAAGACGACGACGUUGAUAGGUCGGGUGUGUAAGUGUAGCGAUACAUUGAGCUAACCGAUACUAAUGAACCGUGAGGCUUAACCUU